CUUGGAUGGUGCGAGCAGCACAAAGCCCUCACAGGUUUUCUUUCCGCAACCAAAGCCGACUCCUCUUCACACGUGGAUAGCGUGCGGUCGGCAGAGCAGCAGGCACUGAUCUCUUGUGACAGCUGCUCCUGAGGCUGGCUGCGGAAGGGAUCGUCAUCGGGCAGCGAUGGGAGGAGGGCAAUAUUUAAGCGCUCCCAUAACACACUUGCCCGUAUGUACUGCUGGAACGCGACACACAAGGAACGGGAUCCAGAAGCUGCCUGAAUCAACUUAAAAUAACUGUACAAAGCUACGAGGGAGGAAUCAGAGGGGGGAAAGGCGACAGCAACCUAUCCUUUCCCUCACUUGCUCUGGGCUAUGAUCUUCCGUCUGAAGUGUUUAACCCCAGGGUACUUCCGCCUCCUACAAAUGCAACUGGCCAGUGGACUGGAGUCGGAACCUCAAGACCGGCUGAUGAAUCACCUGGCUUUACUGCUGGCCAUUAUGGGAUUAAGCCUCUCCUAUUACAGCGCCCGGCAAAUGAGUGAAGAGACCAAACCAAAUCCGGAACCUUGACGCUUGGGCUGCCAAGCAGCAGCUGCACGGGCCAAAGAGGAUUCCAGGAACGCACAGAAAAGAAACAAGGUUGGAGAGAGACCCUGGCACGCACUCUGCGGCACAAGCAGCAUCCUUUAGGUAUCCUGUGCAUGCGCCGGCUGGGUGGCUCACAUUAGAAAACUCAGCGCCAACUUUCCUUGUUCUUUCACAGACGGUGUGUCGCUAGUGCCCCUUCCGGCCAUGCUAGUUUCAUUCUCUCCUACUGGAUCCUCCUGGUCAACUCAGCUAUUGCCCAACUUGCUUCAUUCUAGUUUCAGGGGGCCACUACCAGGGUUGCAUUCCUCUGCCCCAAUUUACCCCUGGAUCUGAUCCUCAUUCAAAGCCCAGAAAUGGAUUUAAACCAGGAUGGCCACGCAGGAAGGAAGCUGAAGAGCUAACCUCAUUGGUUGGGUCCAAUAUUGCCUUAGCUUGUCACAGGAAGCUUUCUGCCUGGGCAUGUUAAGGUUGCCCUCCAGGGGAUGCAGCAGGGAAUUAUUAUUAUUAUUAUUAUUAUUUGACACUGUAAUAGAGUUGGGUAUUUUCUUCACAGGGGAUUAACAGCCACACAUGGUGGCAGUUGAGCUGAUGUCACCUGCCCACCCGUCAGCAGGGUUGAUCCUGUAGCCCAGAACCUCCCUGCUAAACACAAAGGCCACCCCACUUGUUUUAUGAACCACCUGAAAGACGACAUACAUUAAGUGAUAUAGCCCAAUGGAGAAAAGGGGAAAUUGCCAGUAUCAACAACUCAGCUGCUCAGUUUGUGAAGUCAGAAGCCACCCUGUCACGGCAGAGCAUGCAGGUCCUCCUCUUAGCAUCAUCCUAAGCUGCUAGAGUGACAUGCACACUCCUGCCAGUUGCUGCCUUAAAGCAGUUAUGGCGAAGCUUUUGGACCUCUAAAUGCUGCUGUACAACUCCACCAGCCCCAGCAAGCAUGGCCAAUGGCUGUUGUUCAGCAACACCUGGGGACCAGAUGUUCCCUGCAUCUGCCUUACAGCACUGAUCUUCAGUGCAGUGUUAGGACCCUCACAUGGGUACCAGCCUGACCUAAAGGGGCUGGAGCAGUGGUUAAGACAAGGAAGACACUUUCAGCUCAGAGGCCAAAUGUCUGGCCCUCCGAACUCUCCCCAGGCUACACCCCUCCCUGGCCCUGCUUUACACCCCGGAUUGUGUCCUAGAAAUCUGAUGAAGCCUCUCACUUGUCCGGAUGGAAGAUGUAGAGGGGUGUGUGCAGAUACUGUACAAAAGUUAAAAUUUGCAUUUGUUGCUCUGCCCACUUCUGCCUCCAGCCCCGCCCACCACCAGCAUGUGGCCCUUGGGAGCUUGCCCAGGAAAGAAUGUGGCCCAUGGGUCAAAAAAGAUUCCCCACACUUGUUUUGAGAGAAUAGGAAAGAGGGAGAAAGACGACAUAGAUCUACAGUAAGAAAUUAAAUAUGGAUCCUUUGUUACAGAUGGAGGUUGAAAGGUGGGUCUUUUAUAGACUAAGAUCGAAGUCUUACAGAAUUCCCAAGGAAAAGGGGUUUAUUUCCUGGAGGGCCAGGCCCACCCCCUCACAGUAUUGCAGAGGGGCAGGGAGAAAAAGUCGGAUGAGCAUAAUGCACUGCAUUAAAAGGCAAGCGAAUGUAUUACAGACGGUUGAACGAGCGCAUUCGCUGUCUGCUCCCUCCCACUUGACUUGGGCCAAAGCAGUGCAUCAUGGGAAAACCAAAAGGAACUGCAGACUGCCCGUUAUGUAACGGAAUAUGUGGCCAGACAGCCGUGACCUACAUCAUGCCUUCCCAUGAGCAAUUAAGGAGAGGGGGAUUUUUAAAGGCGCUCAGCCUUCCGUUUUAAAAAGUGCACCCAUGAUUUGGGGUUGGUGAGGAGUUUCAAAGGGUGCAAAGGCGAGGCAGGUGAAUCUUUCACCUCUUACAGGAAGAUAAUUGUUGCCUUCUUCAGGGAGUUUCAGACCAAUUUACCCACAGAACACGAGAAUCUGCCGUUUACCAGAUCAGAGUGGUUUUUGCAUUUUGCCCAGUAUUGUCUACUUUGACAGGCAGAGGCCCUCCAGAAUCUCAGGCAGAGGCCUUUCUCAUCACCUGCUAUCCACUGCUCCUUAAGCUAAAGAUACCAGGGCUUGACCGCUGCAUACAAAGCAGGUGCUCUGCCACUCAGCUAUGGCCCCCGUUAAAUCUUCAACACCAAAAUCUGCCCUUGUUCCUCUCUGGAUUAGGCUCUUGCUAAGGCAGCUAGAUCUCAAACACCACACUAGCCGAUUCAUCUGUCUCAUACCAACAAUGCAAGGAAUAAACGUGUUGCACUGUGUACAAUAAAUCUCUGUUUUAAA
This is a long non-coding RNA of Podarcis muralis (Common wall lizard), 2899 nucleotides long. RefSeq lists it as uncharacterized. The record is from RefSeq and is a predicted model, not a curated record. Lineage: Eukaryota; Metazoa; Chordata; Lepidosauria; Squamata; Lacertidae.